This 94-nucleotide ribosomal RNA is filed under the name Lepisosteus oculatus (spotted gar). Lineage: Eukaryota; Metazoa; Chordata; Actinopteri; Semionotiformes; Lepisosteidae. The record is from RNAcentral.
GCCAGCAGCCAUAUCCCACUGAUGCUAAGCAGGUGUGAGCCUGGCCAGUACCUGGAUGGGAGACCUCCUGGGAAAGCUAAGGUUGCUGCUGGAA